AUUGGAUCGCUCUUAUUUGGCCCUGGAUAGUCGCUUCCCAGAGAUCCACUGCUCCCUGACAGAAUGCAGGCUUCCAGUCUCUUACUUCAAAUGGAUUAUUACUCCCAGAUAGAAAAGCUCAUCUACUGGCAAGAUUUGUCACAUGGUUUUCUGCAGCACAGGCAGAGACAUGAGUUACUGUUUUCAGAAAUAAUGGAGGAAGAGUACCAUGUUCAGUGUUUCGUGGUGUUCCUGCUGUGCUUUAUUUUGGGUGAGUCUAGCAGCUUUUCAGAAGCCCUGCUCUGUAGGAGAUUUCCUCUGUUCCUUUGUUUAAAGUUGGGGAUCCCAAACUGACCUAUACUGCCUUUCAUAAAGCCUGUUAAGGCAAAAGAUGACGAAGCCUGCGUGGAAAAUGCACACAUGAGCCACAUAUGCACUUACACAUGCUACUUGGCAAUCAGAUCCGCAUAUGCUGGCUACCUCCUCAGUCACGGGACUCGGUACGCCUAUGCAUAUAGCCAGAUGUAUUUCUGCUGUGUGAGCAAAUGUACAUCAGCCACAGGUGUUUCCCGGAGAGGAGAGAGGGCAGCUCAGACGGGCCUGUGUGUCCCCAGGGGGAUCCCUGCAGCCUGGCCAGCUCCCGUUGCCUGGCCGCGGCGGGUGCCCACGGGGUGCCCUGCCGCUCAGCACUGAAGACUAGAGGCUGCGACUGCAGGAGGGUGUUUCCUGGCUGCCCAGGCCUCGUUGCACCACGGCCCCUCCUGUUUGUUCAAGCUUCUGCUCCGCUCACGUUGCACCCGUCGUCUUCUCUGCAAGGUAACGUGCUGCUCUCGCACACGGUGCAGGUGUGAGCAUGCUGGUAGCGACCUCCUGUGCCGAUCUCCCGCUUCUUCUGCCCAAGCACCACCAGCACUGCAGCCCUCUGUCAACGAACACAGCAAACCUCUGGCUGCAAAGCCAAGCACUUCACGUGGUACCUUAACACAAGGUUACCGGAUGAGUAGAGUUUCACUGCUAAAGAACUAAGUUCAAGUUCUGCUUUGGGUCAUGAAAGGAAUUAUGUUUAAAGAUUUUUAAUCCCUUGGGAAGCUUUCCAGUCCCUGCGGAUAUCUCUGCUUAAUCACACCCUCAAUCCAGUACAGGGUCAUUCUUGCUCAAGAUACAGCUUGUUCAGGAACUUUCAUGGAUUUUUGUUCACUUGCUUGCUUUUAAAGUGAGACUAUUUUCCCAUUUAAUUUGGGGUUGCUUGUGAAAAGUGUCUCUUUUUGGAUAGGAUUCUUUUUUUAUUAUUAUUUUUUUCCAUGGCAAAACUGAACAUCCUUCCAUCUGGCAGGACAUCACAUCAUCUCCAGAAAAUGUAACUUAGAGAGAGAGUAAGGUGUGCAAAGGAGUUAUGGGAGCAUGAGGUGCCUAAGCCACAAUUGUCAUAAUACACUCAGAGAAAUUUCCAAAUUAAAAUAGUUCGGACCUUGCUUUUUCCAAGAAAUGCCAUUUUUUUCCUAGUGGAAGGACAGAGGAACAUAUCUGGGUCUGAUGUAGCUAACUCUUUGCUUGCCUAUGCAUGUCAGCUGUACUCUGAGGUACAAUUAUGCUUUGAAAGAGGAGUUCACCCAGAUAUGCAGGAAUGACAAAUGCAUCUAUCCCUGCCUGCACCUUUACAUUUCAGUUUCAAUCUCAACAAGCCAACAUAUAUAAUACAAUAGGAAUAUAAUUUGUCCUGCUCCAAUACCAGCAUUUGAUUACAUAUUACUGGCUUGUUAGGAAAUCUGGUAAUCCGUCUAAAGUUUUAGGCAAGGGACAUAUUUUUUAAGCAAAUACAGAGUGUUCAAAUGUUGCCAGCAAUAACAAUCUGUAAACUACAGAUGAGGUGAACUGAAUGAGCAGCACGUUAUCUCUCUGAAUGUUUAAAUUUUUGCACAUUUUGGCAACCUCCUUAAAGAAAGCAAGAGCUGGACUGUCAGCACUGAUUUCAGCUUUGCAGCGCUAUGGCUUUCUAUUUAUAAUAGACAUGAAAGAGGUCCUGAAGGCGGCAUGUCUUGUCAGCAAAUUAAAAAUUCACUCAUGUCUGCAGUGUUUGCUUUAAUUUAAAUAUUUGUCAUGGUUAAUGAAAGAUAGCCUGAGAAAGGGGGAGCAAAGCAAGUUUCCCAGGUCCCAUCAGUUUGUUCAUGCCGCCUUCCCAUUUGUGGUCAAAAAUAGAGUCUUGUACAAAUGGUUAUGAAGCUCUGUGGAUGGUGAAGUGGGCAAUGGUCUGUGGCUAAGGGGAUUUGACUUCAUGCAGUUAUCCAGGAGCCUUGGAUAUUAAUAUGGAAAGUACCUGGCCUAUCUUAUUUAUAGCAACUGUUAAAAUGUAAAGGAAAGUGCCUAACUUGAAUGUACUGCUUCUGUGCUGAGACAGUUUCCUAAAGUCAUCUUUAUGUGGCUAGAGAAACAUGCACAGGGCAAAGAAACUCUCACCCAUAUUUCCAGUUCCAAAACUGCCCAUGGUUUCCUAUUGCAGCAAGUGUGUCAUUGUAAAUAAAAACCAGACAUGCUCAUAUCACUUAAUAAGCAUUACAGGCUUCUCUUACUUCAAUUCACAAUGUGUAACUUUGGGCAAAAUUCAGACUCUCCAGUGGCUGCUGAUUAAUUUGUUUUCUUAUACUUUCCUGAGAUCUGGAUUGGCACCAAAGCCCAAAAGGGAAGAAUCUAGCUGUCAAAAAGUGAAUGUCUAUAAUGAGCAUAAGGUGUGGACAGAAACCACAUAGUUGUCACACAGCAGCUAUGACAUGAAAGAUGCUAUUGUUUCUAUACCAUUUCCCAUAAGGGAGAGAGAUAUUUUGGGAGGACAGAAGACUGUGAUUAAGGCAGACGGCUACAUGGAAAACUGUCAUUGUAUGCUCCACAUACUGAAAUGGAGGAGUGUGCAGGAACAAGGCUGUUAGAAAUAUUUAAAAAAAUAUUAAGUUCAUGGAUGAGUAACAAAAAUAUCUAAGCAUUAAUUAAACACUGCUAAUCUGUGCAGCCUUGUCCAGCAGGGAACACAGGAUUCAGAGCAGGGAAGCUGAAGUUUUCUUCUCGAGUCUGCUACUGAUUUCUCAUUUUCCACUGAUUUCAUGCACUUUGGAUCAGCUCUGUGCACCUCAGUCUCCUCAUCUCUAAAAUUUUGCUAUUUGCUAGCAUAAGUCCCAGAUCAUUGUCAGAUAUUGGCUGUAAGUUAUAUUAGGACACUGGAGUGAACAGUUACAGAAGUGUGAGGUGUUAGUUAAUCAUUAUUGGUUUUAUUGGUUUUAUGCACCUGGCCCUUUAGCGAGGGAAAACGGACUCCCUCUGCCUGUGCACUGGUGCCAGGCUCCCUCAGGCAAUAUAAUCUGUUGAAAUACCUUGGAAAUGAACUCUAGAGUAGCCACUCUUAAAUUAGUCUUAAUGCAGUUCAAUGACCAUACAGAGUAAUCCUAAAGCACAGCAUCUCUUUCCAUACAACACUGCACCAUGUGUGCCUGUAUCUCAAGCAAAUACUUAAUGCUGCUUUUAGUUAUUACGUAUGGUGAACUCUACCUGGUUGCUCUUGCAACAUCUUAUUUUCCCUGUAACACUUUAGGGAAUCUGUGACAUCCUCAGAAGUACCCUUGAAAAGGUUCAAGAGAAGGAGGUAAAUCUAUGCUUUAAAUAUGUUGCAUCAUCAGAAAUGACUUGAAUGGUGAAGCAAGGGAAGAGACUGUGCAAGUGACUAGUAGAUGGCAAAGGAUAAAAAAUAGGAGGCUGAUACAUGUCUCAUUUGGUGACUGCAAGUCCCCUGCCUGCUUUCUGAGCAGAGGGCUAUAUUGUUCGUUAAGCCUUAUGAACCUUAGCAAGGCAAGCACAGAAACCAACAGCUCAAAUGUUCUUGCAGCCACUGGAGUCACAGGGAGGUAGUAAUGGUCAUUCACAAACAGAUUUUUCUCUUUCCCGUUACGUAGCUGCAGAUAUACCAAGCUGUACUCUCUAGGCCUGCACCAGCAGUAGAGAGACAGCCCUUCCUCAGGAUACAGUGGGAGGUGUGGGGGCUGCCUCCUGCUCUUUUUUAGCAAGAGAACAUCUCUACAGCUCCCCAUACCACCUUCUGCAAAAUGACAACCAACAUAUGACUUGGGUUUGAAAUCCUUGCAGCUGAUGGAAAAACAAUUAAGAUCUCAUUAAAAUUCUAUGUAGAGAGCCAAGAAAAGGAAGAUAAUGUCAGAGGAAAGGUGAUACGUAGGACAGUAUGGAGAAUUCUCUUAAGUUAAGCCUGUCAUUAGGCAGGAGCACGGAAGGUGCUAAUUGUACAGUGCAUUUCAUUCAUCCCACAAAGAAUAAUUAACGCUUUCCCUUCUGCCUUUCCUUUCACUGACAUAAAUGGGUUCAAUGCAUAUGCUCUCAGGCAGGAGUUGUCCUCUCCUGGAUUCAUACGUUCAGGACAAUUUUACUGCUGGAUUUCUUCAUCUGUUGACUGUUGAACAGGAAUUAUUAGUCAGAUGAAUAAAUGAUGAUUUCAUUAA
Molecule: long non-coding RNA, 4472 nt
Organism: Dromaius novaehollandiae (emu)
Lineage: Eukaryota; Metazoa; Chordata; Aves; Casuariiformes; Dromaiidae
Exons: 3
Source: RefSeq, a predicted model, not a curated record